GAUGAACGCUGGCGGCGUGCUUAAUACAUGCAAGUCGAGCGGACGGACGAGUAGUUUGAUUUUCUGAUGUUAGCGGCGGACGGGAGAGUAACACGUGGAUACUCUCCCUCUCAGCCUGGGAUACCUUCGGGAAGGCGGAGCUAAUACCGGAUGAUAUUUUGUACCGCAUGGUUCAAGAGUGAAUGACGGUCUUGCUGUAACUUAUAGAUUGAUCCGCGCUGCAUUAGCUAGUUGGUAAGGUAACGGCUUACCGAGGGAACGAUGCAUAGCCGAUCGGACCGGGGGAUCGCCGACACGGGAACUUGUACGCGGUCCAUACGCCUACGAGAGGCAGCAGUAGGGAAUCUUCCGCAAUGGUCGAAAGCCUGACGGAGCAACGGCGCGUGAGAGAUGAAGGUCUUCGGAUCGUAAAACUCUGUUAUGAGUUAAGAACAUAUUUGUAAGUAACUGUGCACAUCUUGACGGUACCUAAUCAGAAAGCCACGGCUAACUACGUG
RNAcentral lists this ribosomal RNA (497 nucleotides) under uncultured bacterium. RNAcentral's name for it is "partial 16S ribosomal RNA". It matches the Rfam family "Bacterial small subunit ribosomal RNA", at positions 28 to 507 of the family's 1533-position model. The record is from RNAcentral.